UUCCAGUAAUUUAAAAAAAAUAAUGAUCUUGUAAAUCAUAAAUACCCCCCGUCUAGAACAC
RNAcentral lists this transfer RNA (61 nucleotides) under Pseudophacopteron aewagriini. Its description in RNAcentral is "tRNA-Thr". The record is from RNAcentral. Lineage: Eukaryota; Metazoa; Arthropoda; Insecta; Hemiptera; Phacopteronidae.